UCGCCUACGGGAGGCAGCAGUAGGGAAUCUUCCACAAUGGGCGAAAGCCUGAUGGAGCAACGCCGCGUGGGUGAAGAAGGUCUUCGGAUCGUAAAACCCUGUUGUUAGAGAAGAAAGUGCGUGAGAGUAACUGUUCACGUUUCGACGGUAUCUAACCAGAAAGCCACGGCUAACUACGUGCCAGCAGCCGCGGUAAUACGUAGGUGGCAAGUGUUAUCAGGAUUUAUUGGGCGUAAAGGGAAUGCAGGAGGUCUUUUAAGUCUGAUGUGAAAGGCUUUGGAUUAAGCGGUGUAGUGUAUUGGAAA
Molecule: ribosomal RNA, 305 nt
Filed under: uncultured bacterium
Lineage: Bacteria
Description: bacterial SSU rRNA
Rfam family: Bacterial small subunit ribosomal RNA
Source: RNAcentral